Molecule: RNA transcript, 6977 nt
Organism: Cephus cinctus (wheat stem sawfly)
Lineage: Eukaryota; Metazoa; Arthropoda; Insecta; Hymenoptera; Cephidae
Gene: neur
Gene name: protein neuralized
Exons: 5
Source: RefSeq, a predicted model, not a curated record
CAGUCGGCCACGAGAGCUCCUAGAGUGAGGAUCUCGUUCGGAUAUACUAGGGAGUUUUCAUCCCCCCCGGUCCCUUCCCACCCCCAGGACACGCGGACUCGUCCGCCGGUUUAGGGUCGUCAGGGAAUCAAGAAUAUAUCGUUGUGUGCGUUUAUAGUCUAGUUUACUCCAAAACUCAAAAAUCAUCCCUCCUACCCUUACGAUUCGUAUUCGCGGCAAUUUUACGAUAUUUAUUAUUAUUAUACAUACCCCCGUCCCAAAUCUCCGCUAUCUCUAUCCGAAUCGAUCCCCCCCCUCCCUUUUCUUUCUUGAGACUGUUUACUAUUAAUCGAAGAAAAAGGGGGAAAAAAAGAUAAGAACGUCUUCUAGUCUACCUUUCGUCGAGUGUGUGUGAUACAUUUAUAGACAUACGUAUAUAUAUAUUGUAUACGUAUAUAUACACUGUGACUGAGAAAUACGGUGAAAAACUUAUCGUUGAGAUAUUAACGGAUAAGGUUAAGAAAAAAUAAAAUUAAAAAAUUAUUAUUUCGUCGCUGUGCCAGUACUCGCGUCUUAAAGGGAUUAUUUGCCUGGUACAAUUGACGUAAACGCAAGGGGACUUUAACGUUACAUUUAUGGGGGUGUCCGGAGAGUGCGCUGUCAGAGGUGCCGGCAGCAAAAGCCACCCCUGUCACUGCUGCAGUCACGCUGCCAUCGCCGGUACCAGUGUGCCACCACCCAGUCAUCAUCAUCAUCAUCACCAUCAUCAUCACAAUCAUCAGAAUCAUCAUCAGAAGCCCGUCGGCGAGCCUCCGGCUGACACGACGAUAUUGGCACCUCUGCGCAGCAAGAUGAAAGUGCUCAAGAAGCUCAAGCGAAAAAUGGGAUUGGCACCCAGAUCAUCCAGUGCAGGGACGAACAACCUACCACCCCUGACCUUUCACCAGGUUCAUGGUGACAACAUAAGACUGUGCAAUGGCGGCACCAUUGCCAGGAGACACGAGAGCUUUUGCAAGGGCGUCACCUUCAGCGCCAGACCCGUCCGUGUUGGUGAGAAGGUAUGCGUAAAGUUUCUCGAGAUAUCCGACAAUUGGAGCGGAGUCAUCAGAUUGGGAUUCACCAGUAACGAUCCGAUAAAUCUGAGAAACGGGCUGCCCAAGUACGCAUGUCCCGAUCUGACCAACAAGCCUGGUUACUGGGCUAAGGCAUUGGCCGAAAGAUUUGCCGAGAGAGACACGGUUCUGUUCUAUUAUGUGACACUGGCGGGCGACGUGCACUUCGGCGUGAACGGCGAGGAGAAGGGCGUCUUCUUCAGUGGCGUCGAGACGCGCGGUCCCCUGUGGGCGAUAAUCGACGUCUACGGCAACAGCACGGCCAUCGAAUUCGUCGAUCCUAACCGUCAGCACUUCAACAAUAUACGAAGAGGCGCUGAGCACAGCAACGAGGACAAUGCGCAGCACAGUAGACAUUCAGCAAUGGAUGACGCCAGCAACGCUGGCAGGGACCUGGACAGGAUCAUCGUACCCACCAUGCAGAACAUGUCCAUCCAUCAUGAGCCCGACGUUGAUCUGCCUGGUCUGAGGUUUCAGCCCUCAGGAGUACUCUUCACACCUCUACCAUUCCAUCCAACAAGAGGCAGGAACAUCCGGUUCAGCAACCAGCAGUGCGUGGCGACGCGAAGCGACACCGAAUUCUGUCACGGUUACGCGUUCACCAGCAGACCUCUGUUCCUGGGUGAGAGGCUGGUGGUACAGAUCUUGUCGACGGAGCCGAUGUACGUCGGUGCCCUGGCGCUGGGUCUGACGUCCUGCGACCCCUCGAGAUUGUCCGCCGAAGAUCUGCCUGAUGACAGUGAUCUUCUGCUGGAUCGGCCCGAGUACUGGGUGGUGUCCAAGGACGUCGCGUCGAGUCCCCAGCCUGGUGAUGAGAUAGCCUUCACGGUGACCCACUACGGCGAGGUUCAGAUGAGCAAGAACGGGGGUCAGCCCAACGUGGUGAUGCACGUGGACCAGAGUCUCCAGCUGUGGGCCUUCGUCGACGUUUACGGGUCUACCCAGAGAGUCAGGAUGCUGGCCAGUCGUCCGUCCUCGCCGCCGCGCACCAGGCCCAGCAGCCAGUCCCAGACGCAAAGUCAGCAACAGAACCAGCAACACUCUAAUCACAGUAACGCCGCCACUGAGCUGUCCAGAUUCAGCGAGAUGGUACAGUUCAAACCAGCCGUAGGGGGCGGUACUGUCCUGGUGGUUAACCUACCUCCUCAAAGUGGUUAUCCAACACCACCUCCACCGACGCCUCAGCCCGUCUACGCCUCGGCUGCUCAUAGAAAUCCACCGCCUGUACAUCAUCCCCCACCACCUCCGGCGUCCUCGUCGAUCACCGGACCAGCGUCUCAUCCUGGAUCGUCAAGGCAGUCUCCACCAUUGACCGGCACCAUGGCCAGCACGGGAUCCUCGACCUACGUUGAUCCUGUCUCGUAUCAGAGUCUAGAAGGCACCCUGACGUCUCAGGCGUCGUCCCACCUUCAACAGUGGAGCGAGGGUCUUCAGCCGACGCCUGGUCAGCCAAGCGAGUGCAGCAUCUGCUACGAGAGGAACAUCGACAGCGUUCUCUACAUGUGCGGACACAUGUGCAUGUGUUAUCCCUGUGCCAUUCAGCAAUGGCGCGGAAAGGGUGGUGGACAUUGUCCGUUGUGCAGAGCUCCGAUAAGGGACGUUAUCAGGAUCUACAGAUCCUGAAGAAGGAUAAACAGGGAUUUUCGUGACGACGGUGUUUAUUAUCAUGUGAGAGACGCGCGGGACUCUGUCAAUUAAGAUGUCAAUAGGGUGUGUGCUUUUUUUUCCUUGAUAUACUAUUGCGACCCGGAGACAAUUGUACCUAAGCGUUACCCUACUCUGUCACGUGGAAUUUCAAAAUCCUCUAUUAAUCUGGCCAACUAUUGACCUCCAGGAGUUUCAUUCCUGAUGAGGUCAAUUUCUUUGUAUGUAUAUUACGUGUAUCUAGGAGAACGUGCUUCCAUAGCCGCUACACUGCCACCUUGUAACUGUCCUGAAACCCCCUUUGUGAAUUCCUAUCCGUUUUGUCAUCCAAUCGAUUCCCACAAGUAGUUCCCUGCUCCCUAUGGACUUUCAAUUCCAAUUGUUUCACUUUCUUUUUCCUGUCCCCUCGCAAACAGUGUUUUAGGCUGAAUUUAUUGUACUUGUAUACGAUUGUCAAGGGACUCUUUUUUAUUCCUCGAAACGAUCAGUGACGAUGGGUGCCAUCUUCGCGCAUGCGCACUACUCGAUCAGUCAUACCGUUUUAUUUUAUUUCGUCGAUCAGUAAUAAACAACGUGUUUUUAUCCUAUAACGUGAAUUUUAUCAAACCCCUUUUCAAUGCUCAGGUAAUAAGACGCUUUGUUACGUCGUACAGGCUGAUUGAUUUUGUUUUUAAAUUCAAAUACGCAAUUUACACGGCAUACGGGGUUAGUCUCAUGACGUAAAUUAGCGAGUCAAGUUUUAUAUGAAAAAGUGGGCGUACAUUUUUUAUAGAUAAUUUAUAUGGAUACAGCAAGAGCGAUGCGAUAUAGAAUAUCGAUUAUUGGCAAUUUUCGCUGAUCGAGAGAAAUGGAUAAAUUAUUAUAAGAAAAAAAAAAUAUUCCCUCACGAAAUUUUCUUUUGAUUCUUUAACGCUACGAUUAGAUAUUGUUUUCUUUUUUGUCAGCUACUUAUGAUUAACGUGACUUUUGUAUCUUCCCUUUUUCUUUUUGUAUUGCUCAUUGCGUCACUAGAACGCUUUCCUCUUGUCUUUUGUCGAAAGUUUCAUUUCUAACGCCGUCCCUGCGGUUAAUUAGCAUCGGAGCGUGAGAAAAAGAAAGAAAAAAAAGAAAAAACAAUUGUCGUCAACCAAUAGAGCGAAACGGGUAGUCGUUGAGCGACCCAAGAGAGGUCGUCCAAAAAAAAAAAAAAAAAUCGCAAGAAGUCGCAGAUAAUAAAAAGAAAAGCAAACGAUGUCCGAGAUAAAUCUCGUCUCAUUAAUGUUAUUUUUAUUAUUAAUUAUUUGCUAUUUGCCUAGACGUGUUACUCGAACUUUUAUUAUUAAUUGCUACUCGUCACUAUACAUAUACGAUUACUUGUCUUAUUAUAUUAUAUUGCAUUGCUAUCGUCAUUAUUAUUAAUUAUUAACUAUUAAUUGCUAAUACCAUUAUUACUAUUAACUAUUUGUCGUCAUUAAUUAGUCGCAUUAUUUUUUAUCUAUUAUUAUUUAAAAUAGCGCCUAAUCGCAACAGCGUGGACGUUAACUUUCGUUGGAGUGCUAUCUUUUUUCUUUUUCCUUUUUUUUUCACUUUCAAAGGUCAUUUUCGAAAAAUCGCCUUUUCUCCGUCUCUCUGUCACACGUAAUCUUAUCACUUUACUCUUUUCUCUUCUUUAUUCUUGCCCAAGAAUCUUUUCUUCCUUUUUUCUCAAUUCUCUUUUUAUUCUUACUCUUUCUUACUCCUGACUCCAAUACUUGUCACUUUCGCUCUCGAUGACUAAUUGUAAGUCGUGUGCUGCUUCUUUUUUCUUUUUUCUCUUUUGCAUCGACGCGAAGCGUUACCAAAGAAAGGGAAUGCGAAAGAAAGUAAUGAAACGGUGUACAGUGUAUGUGUGGGUACGACGGAGAGCGCAUAGAAGAAUGUAGGAAGCGAUUGUACGAAUUUUUAUUGAAAUUUCAAAAAUUAUCUUGACGUUGCUUCUCUUUCUCUCUUCUUUCUUGAUCUCCGUUUACAAUUCGACAAUGCGUUUAUCUCAGUUUUCUUUCCUUCGCGAAAGAUCCCAUAUAAUAUUUUAUCCGAUGACAAUUGCAAAUCGAAAAAUUUUGUAAGGUUAUGUCAGAUAUCAAAAAAAUUUCUUUAAUUCACGAAAUGAAGAAAAACUUAAUGCAAGUCGACGGGAAUUUCAAAGAUUUAUCGAAAUGACUUUUUGAAAUUCCCGUCGCAUAUAAUUUUCGUAUAUUACCCCCUUUACAAUUUACUUGUAUGAAUUUUUUUUUUUUCAAAAAUAUUUUCAAAUCCAUUUUCACUCAUACGCACAAUAUGGACAGAAGAGAGAGGGUCUAAGGGGGGCUAUGACGUGGGAAGCAAAAACAGAAAGAUAGACAAGAGUAGAACGUAAUUGAAAACUAAGAAUACUAUAAGUCAAAAUGACAAACCGGCGAAUGCGUUAAAAUAAAUGUAAAAGAUUAUCGGAGAGCUAAUUAUGAAUAUUAGGAGAAACAAAAAAAAUAACUAAAUAACUGAAGAUGAAGGCAAAGAGCGCAGGCAAUAAAAGUAGUAGUGAAAAUCUCUAGUCCAGCGAGCGGCAGCCCAACUCGAUAUAUUCUGCCAAUCCAAAAAGUGUGAAAGGAAAAGCAAAAAAAAAAAAGAGAAGGACGUCGAUUUAAUAAUAAAAUAAAAGCGAUAAAAACGAAGGAGGGGUCAACUAAUUAAAAACGAACCAGCAUAUAAAGCUGAAAGGGCUGAAUAAUGUAAAGCAGAAGCCACACGCCUAACGAAUUAAACGGAGGCUAGACACCGUGGCCUUUAGUAGGUUGCCAACUAAUUACUCAAAUUUAGUAAAAAAAAAGUAAAUAAAAAAAAACAGAUUAGAAAAUCGAUAAAACGAGAAACAGACGGCGGUUGGUGUAACGAGUGAACCUAUACGAUAAAAAUAAGUAAUAAAAAUAAUAGUUCGCCAAUAAUGCCGAGAGAAUAAUGAGAAUAUGGAAUUUGUAUGGCGUGUAUGGGGCGAUAGGGGAAUAUCCAUAGACGGUAAAAAAAAAGAAUAAAAAAUAAAUUGGCACGAAAUUACGAAAAGAAAAAAUUGAAAAAAAAAAAAUGAAGCUGAAAAGCUAUCGGCGGCCACUUAUUUUAAAUAUUAGCAAAUCAGUUGGUACGAUUGAAGGGGCGAAAGGGGGAGAGGAGGGCGAAUGUGAAAUUGCAACGUAUGUAAUGGAGUGUGUGCUUUUUGUAAAAGAAAAAAUUGAUAGCGGAGCGGCGGGAGAUAAGGAGUGAUAGCGAAUAAAAAAUGUUCCAAAAAAUUUCGAAAAUUAUUAAUUAAGUACGCACUGGGCAGUUGUGGCGAAUGAUAAAAAAAUUUUUUUAAGAUUAAUUCAAUGUUUAUUAUUAAUUGUCGCCUGUUGCUCUUCGAUCUUUUUGUCUUGCUCUGUCUUUUUAUUAUUAUUAUUAUUAUUAUUACUCUCCCUAUUAAUCAUUAUUAUUAUUAUUAUUCAUUCUCCUCAAUCUCAAUUGUCGUCGUUAUCUGUCGUCUUAUACCUACGAAUUAUUAUUAAUUAUUAUUCCUAUAUUUUUUCUUUCUUCCUAUUUUAUAACUGCGAAUUAAUUAACCGCUAUCUAUAUCUAAUCAUCGUAUCGCGCACCUAGUAAGGAUUAUUUAAUUUGCGAUUCUUUUUAUCGUCCGCGCUUAACGAGCUUUAUCCUUUCUUUCUUUUCUUUACUAAAAGAGGGUAUAUUAAUAUAUCGUUUAUUCAAGAUCUUAUGUAAAGUCUUGAUUAAUUUUUAUUUAAUUCUCAACCCACUGAGAGAUACACGGAAACACACACACUCCUUACCAAUAGUGUAUAAAAUACAAAAAACUCGAAAAAAUAUACAUACAUGUGUCCGAGACACGGGAAAAGGAAAAUGGCCGAGUCGUAUCUGGACCGUGAAUUUUUGUCUAUAAUUUUUUUAAUAUAUAUAUAUAUAUACAUACAUACGAUUACGUGCAUAUUCACAUAAGCGGGAUACAUCAUAAGACGGAUGUUUGAAUCUCCGAAUUGGUUUUUUACCAUUUCAUUUCUUUUCUCUCUCUCUCUCUCUCUCUCUCUCUCUCUCUCUCUCUCUCUCUCUCUCUUUAUUGUCUUUCUUUCUCUGUCUGUCUUUUUAUCGUCGUUCUCUUCAGUGUAAAAAUUUACGACGCCCAAUGAAAUUUAUACAUAUGUAAUAUAACUGGUGGUGACCGUGAGCAGCCACCACUAUACAAUAAAAAUCUGUAAUAUCGAGGAA